UACGGAGGAUGCAAGCGUUAUCCGGAAUGAUUGGGCGUAAAGGGUCCGUAGGUGGUGAUGUAUGUCUAUUGUCAAAGGUUCUGGCUUAACCAGAGACAGGCAGUAGAAACUGCAAAACUAGAGUGCAGUCGGGGCAGGGGGAAUUACUGGUGUAGCGGUGAAAUGCGUAGAGUUCAGGAAGAACACCGGUGGAGAAAGCGCCCUGCUAGGCGGUGACUGACACUGAGGGACGAAAGCUAGGGGAGCGAAUGGG
RNAcentral lists this ribosomal RNA (253 nucleotides) under uncultured bacterium. RNAcentral describes it as "partial 16S ribosomal RNA". It matches the Rfam family "Bacterial small subunit ribosomal RNA", at positions 524 to 776 of the family's 1533-position model. The record is from RNAcentral.